AUGGAUCUCUUGGAGGUCUUCCUUCAGCGGCGCAUCCAGCCUCUCCAAGCUCGAGACCAUCCGAUGUGGAUGUAUUCGGGUCUUGAAGACUCCACUCGGAUCCACCCGGAGGAGGUCGACAAUGACACACUGGAGAAUUGGCUGUCUGGCAUUACCGGGAAUAAGGACAAUCCCAGGGGAGCCAGGAGAGUCCCUCCAUUCGACCAGUCCCACGCACCAGAGCAGGCCAUUAUUGAAAUGUAUUCAAUUCCCAACGGGGAGCAAGAGCAAGCUCUGGAAGGCGAGACGAGUGGCGGCGAAAGUGGCGAGUGGACUUCCGAUGGUGAAGGGGAUGGAGGAAGCGACGACUCAAGCGGUGGAGAAGAAGUCGAGUCGCCUCCUCGCAGGGAGAGGCGAUCCAAGCUUGACCAAGAACGGCCGAGUGCCCGUGACAAGGCAACUGCUCCGGCUGGUCAGUCUUCGAAGCGCCCUCGGAUCUCUUCACCAACCCCGACUGAGAAGGCACCAAAGCACCCCAGAGUUGUAGAGCUGAAGACUCGGAAGGCGUUGCCCAAAAUCAAGAUUGAUAUCCCCGUCGCUUCCGCGUGA
RNAcentral lists this ribosomal RNA (588 nucleotides) under Triticum aestivum (bread wheat). RNAcentral's name for it is "partial small subunit ribosomal RNA". The record is from RNAcentral. Lineage: Eukaryota; Viridiplantae; Streptophyta; Magnoliopsida; Poales; Poaceae.